GGCUAUCCACAUCAGCAACUCUCUUCUCAAAAUUCCACAUCAUCAUUCUCAAAAUUAACUUCUUCUUCUACUAUAAUAAUUUGGCAGUUACAUCCUUUUAUUCUUCAAUUUCCACUAUCCUCAUAACUGUCCUUAAUCCCACUCUCUUCCAAAUUCCAAAACCGUUCAAAAAUUUCACGAUCCAUUUUCCCAAAUUCCUUUUCACUUUUCCUCGCAUAAUUGGGAUUCUUCAUUAUUCUGAAGACAAAUACGCAACCUAUCAUGUUCACGGCGGUGUUUCUUGAGGUUCGUCAACGAUGGCGGUGAUUGGUUUCGCUUUCUGACGACCCUUCACAUUGGCCGGGUUUGAUUAAACGAAUACAGGAAGAUGGUGGAGGAGUUGUACAAAUCUCUUGUGGCUUAAUUUAGAUCUCAGAGUUCUCAUGGAUUUUAUUUCUCUAUGUCUGAUGGUGUUUUGUUCUUGAUUGUAUUGGUAGUUAUGUUUAUAUUAUACUAACCCUUUCGUACUCCUCAUCUCACGGCCUUCCUAAAGUAUUUUGAUUUAAUUUUUGAUUGAUUUGGUGUUGAUGAUGCUCACGGGUAUGUGCGAUAUGUUGGAACUGGUGAACACCUUCCCUGAAGAGAUGUCUCUGUUGGAAAGCAUAAAAGAGUGUAUUUGAUUUUGGAGUUUGCACCUAAAGGUGAACUUUACAAGGAGUUACAUAAAUGCAAAUAUUUUAGAGAAAGACGUGCAGCUACUUAUGUUGUGUCAUUGGCCCUAGCCAUCAUAUAUUUCCAUGGAAACCAUGUAAUUCAUAGGGACAUUAAACCAGAGAACCUUCUUAUCGCUGCUCAGGGCGAAUUGAAGAUUGCAGAUUUCGGAUGGUAGGUACACACAUUCAACCGUAGGAGGACCAUGUGUGGCACCCUGGAUUACCUUCCACCCGAGAUGGUGGAGAGUGUAGAACAUGAUGCAAGUGUAUAUAUAUAUAGAGCCUUGGCGUUCUUUUCUACGAGUUUCUUUAUGGAGUCCUGCAUUUUGAGGCCAAAGAACAUUCUGAUACUUAUAGGAAAGUAGCAGUCACUAAGUAGUUGAAUUUAUAUCAUCAUGUAAUUGUACCUUUGUGUAAUUCUAUAAUGUUUUGUUGUUCAUUUGGCUUUGAGGAGGACAAGAAUUUCCAUGUUGUUUUAAAUUUUGUAAUAGCUGGCCGCUAUCAUGUCACCGAGUAUUUGUGAUCUGCGGCACUCACUAAAGCAAUUCAACUCAAAGCCUACUUAUACGAGUUUCAUAAAUUUAACAGAGAAUCAAGAGGGGAACUUUACUUUACAAUGCCAAGAUUGCAGAUGAUUGGCCUCACAAAGCCAACUUCUGGGGCAGCCUAUGUUCAAGGCCUCGACAUAAGAAAUCAUAUGGAUGGAAUAUAUACUAGCAUGGGAGUAUGUCCACAACAUGACUUGCUGUGGGAAAGCUUAACGGGUAGAGAGCACCUACUUUUUUAUGGAAGACUUAAAAAUCUCACAGGUUCACUCUUGACUCAUUGAUAUUGUUAUAGGCGGUAGAAGAAUCUUUGAAGAGCUUAAACCUUUACCAUGGAAGAAUUGCUGAUAAACAAGCUGAAAAAUACAGUGGAGGGAUGAAGAGGAGGCUCAGUGUUGCAAUUUCAAGGUUGCUUAUUAAAUCUCUGUUUCUUCUCUGCUACUUUCCUUUAUCUUGAGAAUACGAGCUUCAAUGUUGGAAGGUAAUCUUAGGUUUUUGUUUCUAUGUUGGCAAUUGUCAUACAAUUUAUUUCUUCGUAAUUAGAUUAUGCAAAACAGAAGUGACUUUGGAUGAUUAUGAAGAGGGGUUGAUAGCUAGCACUGAAGCAGCUAAGACAUGGAGGAAUGCGAGUUUUUUUUAUAAAAUAUUUAAAUUUGUUUGAUUUUUGUAUUUGAGGUUUCUGUGGUUUGUGUUGUACUACUGUAUAUUACUUUUAUGGUAUAAUUGCGAAUUUGCGAUAGGCCAAUAGGUCAUACUGAAUAUAUGUGGAAACUAAAUGAGGAUGAACUUGUGAUGUUUUUUUUUUACAAGUUCCGGCACCCAAAAGAGGUGAGAUUGUAAGACAGAUUGGGGAAGCAUUGAGGGCUAAGUUGGAUCCACUUGGUACAUUCUGAUGGGAAAAAUUCUUGCAGAAGGAAUUGGUGCGGUGCUGCACAGUGCAAUAUUACCAAUAUAUUGAAUCAUGUCGCAUAGCUGCUAAACUGAAAUGUUGUGAUCAAUGCGAAAUGUCAUCACCAUGAAGGUCGCAUAUACAAUUUCAUAGGAGAAGCUUUCCGAUCUCAUACAGAAAGAAGAAUUCAAAAGAGUGAUAGAAUCGAUGCGAUCUCAUAGCAGGCAUGGUGUUGAUUGAAGGGAUAUAGAGGCAGAUGCCUUUGUAGAAAAUGGAAGGAUGGUGGAAUAUUUAUUUGGUAAAGACGGAAAAGGUUUCCUCGGACAUGAUAAAUUUGUGCAGUUUAUAAGAGAUCUUAUAUAUAAUUGUGUAUGUAAACUAAUUACAAUUUUGUGUAUAGAUUUUGAGGCUGGAGUUUGUUCAUUAUGACUUCAAAUCGUGAAAAAACAUAUCAGCAAAGCAGUUUGUAUCA
Vicia villosa (hairy vetch) is the source of this 2598-nucleotide long non-coding RNA. RefSeq lists it as uncharacterized. The transcript is spliced from 10 exons. The record is from RefSeq and is a predicted model, not a curated record. NCBI's taxonomy places the organism in Eukaryota, Viridiplantae, Streptophyta, Magnoliopsida, Fabales, Fabaceae.